Long non-coding RNA from Scleropages formosus (Asian bonytongue), 2303 nucleotides. Lineage: Eukaryota; Metazoa; Chordata; Actinopteri; Osteoglossiformes; Osteoglossidae. The record is from Ensembl.
GCGCCCGCUCGCAUUUCCACGCGGCCUGCAGCGUGACCGUGAACGACGCGUGGACCGGGCCUCGCGGAACGGGAAAAGUGCCACUCUGACAACAUAUUCAGCUUCUUCUAUAUCCAGAGGUAGAUAUGCAAGUUAUCACAAUGUCGAUACAAAGAUGGCAAUCUCAGUCCUGAUAUUUAUCAUUUUGAAGACAGCAUCAGUGCGCCAGACUUUGUGCUGUGCAAGCCAGCUACUGUACAUAGGAUGGCAAAGGAGCUAAGAGGCGACACUGAGUCCUUGGUGUGCAAUGUAAUGGAACGAAGCAGACCCCAACCUUCCUGCUGCCAAAAGAAGGCUGGAGUGUCUGAACAAGAAAGCACAGUUAAGGUCAUUCGUGAAGACCAAUCCUGUAAGCCUGUACUGAAAGGUGGCUCCACCGCCCCAGCAGACAGCAACUUGCAGGCACUCCUGCACAGCCAGAAAGAACAGAAGAGGAGACUUCAGAUAAAGAAGUGUUGCAACUCCCUGCGAGACCUGUUGCCAUUUGUAACUGGCCGACUGGAUACCGCCACCAUCCUGGAACUGACCGUGUCCUACGUAACCUACCUCCAGCAGCGAAUGCCGUCAGACAUUUUGGAAAAGGUAGUGAAAGCCCUACAGGACACCAGAACAAGGAGUUGGUUUAAGUCCACCAAAGCUCCUAGAAAACGCAAAAUGAAUAUGCUGAAGGAGAAACCUACAGUUAAACCGGCAACAACCGAGGAGGAUUUUGCUAAUGAAUUCAUUGCUGCCAAUGUUUUGGGGAGGCACAUUCAGCCAAGGAAAGAAAGCACCCUGCUUCCCACUGUACCAGCGUGUCCUUUGCAAGUGGGCCAACCAUUUCCCACACCGCUGGAUCUGAACACAAGUCCUGCCAAAACUGUAAUAUUGCAGCAAAAUCCUCCUCCAUUUGGUCAGUCAGUUGCAUCCCGCCAGAUGUGUACUCCACCUUUUGCUACUGUGAUGAACAGGAAAUUUGCUUCAUCUAUGUUUCCGUACCAGACACCUUUCUGUCCAGUUGGGGAGGCCAGUCACACUAUCACCCCAGAGAUGAGCCUCAAUGUAAACAUCUCCCAAGCAGGGAUAAUUAACUAUUGUGGCCCAAUUCCAAGACAGCCAGUCAUGGUGAACCAGACUGAUUUCCAGCAGAUGGCUUUUGACCAAGUGCAUCCUCUGUCAAGUCCAGUGUUCAUGAAUGAGGACAUUGCUCCAUUAGCAGUUUUGAACCAGAACUUUGCAGAAACAGUGGCCUUGAGAGAAAUGGUCACCCAGCUGCCAUGUUUAGAGGGUGUUGUUGACAGCAGCUCCUUCAAACUUACCAAAACUUGGCCAGAUCUUGUAGUGCCACAGCUCCUCUAUGAGUCUUCUGACUCUUCCCUGCCGAGUUUCACUUCUUUUCUUGAAACAGGCACUGUGAGCCCCUUGCUACAGAUUCAUGACAGUGAGCCCAUGUGCUCCAUGGCUUGGACCACUCCAAACCAGUGGGCUAUCAGCGAAGUUUCACAUGUGUCUCAAACUGCUUUCCACAGUUCCUUACCAUCUGACUUGCCUUACAGUAUUCAGGAACAGACUGGUCAGGUUUCAUGUGUUGGAAUGAGUGAAAUCUGCAACAAAAGGUUAUGAAAUAUUCCAGUUUUUACUGUAUAGCAGAUAUGAAUGAUGUUUUAAAACAGCCUGUAUGUGCUCAGUUCUUUUGUUUUUUAUUUAGAUUUUUCUUUGUUUUAUGCAUGAAUCAAUUAAUCAGACUGGUAAAAUGAACAGAGUUAAAAUCAGAACUGCCUGCAAAGUAAUACUGGGAAAGCACGGGUUAUGUACUGAUGUCUUCAGUAGGUUGAGGUUAUGUUGAUUUCAUGGGAUGAGCAAGACAAACAAGUUUAUUCCAGUCAAUAACAUACAAUAGAAAUUUGUACCCAUUAUGUAUACUGAUCUGUGGUUGAGAGAGAUUAACAAAGUUUGAGGAUGCAGUGGUGAAUAUUUAAAAUUCUUACUACUUGUCUUCUCUCAGGCCUUCAUGAUAAACUAAACAAGGAAGAAGCAAAGACUAUUUCCCGUGAUCACAGCUUACAGAAAGAACAACUCUUCAGUGAGAGCAAAAGUAAUUCCAGCUCGGUUUUCAGUUUCAUAAUAGUUUAAUAUUUUCUGGUCUUACAUUUAAGUGUUAAGUAUGUUAAUCUCAUUUUGUGUAUCACUUCUUUUAUACACUUCUUUAAAGACAGUGCUACACAUUUAUCUCAUAAUGUAUCUAUUUUCUAAAAAAUGAAUAAAUUGGAUGGAAUUUCCUAACA